RNAcentral lists this ribosomal RNA (774 nucleotides) under uncultured Neocallimastigales. RNAcentral's name for it is "partial large subunit ribosomal RNA". It matches the Rfam family "Eukaryotic large subunit ribosomal RNA", at positions 22 to 628 of the family's 3401-position model. Lineage: Eukaryota; Fungi; Neocallimastigomycota; Neocallimastigomycetes; Neocallimastigales. The record is from RNAcentral.
GUACACGCUGUGACUAGCAUAUCAAUAAGCGGAGGAAAAGAAACUAACAAGGAUUCCCCUAGUAACGGCGAGUGAAGCGGGAAGAGCUCAAAUUUGAAAUCUUAAAGGGUUUCCCUUUACGAAUUGUAGUUUAAAGAAGUGUUUUCUGUUGAGGUUUUGGUAAAAGUUCUUUGGAAUAGGACAUCAUAGAGGGUGAGAAUCCCGUAUUUGACCUUUACUUUCAACUUUGUGAUACACUUUCAAAGAGUCGGAUUGUUUGGGAAUGCAGUCCAAAAUGGGUGGUAAAUUUCAUCUAAAGCUAAAUAUUGGCGAGAGACCGACAGCGAACAAGUACCGUGAGGGAAAGAUGAAAAGAACUUUGAAAAGAGAGUUAAACAGUACGUGAAAUUGUCAAAAGGGAAGCGUUUGACACCAGUGUUGUUUUUCUGAAAAUCAAUUAAAGAACUGUUUAUGCUAAGUUGUUUAGACUUUAUCAGCUAACUGUUUAGUUUUGAGCUUUUCUUUAAUGCACUUUUCAGUUAACAAGUCAACAUCAAUUUCUUUUGCUGUAAAAAAGCUUGAGGAAGGUGGCUUGAGAUUCGUCUUAAGUGUUUAUAGCCUCUUGCCUAUGCAGUCGGAGAGAUUGAGGUCUGCAGCGUAGAUCCUUCGGGGCUAAAUGCAUUUGUGCUAAGUUAUAGCAUUUUAUAGACAACUUGUUGACUAUGAUUUGUCUUGUAGCUUACUCGCUUAUGUUAUUUUACCUACGCUUAGGAUGUUGAGUCGUAGAGCACGCAG